CCUACGGGUGGCAGCAGUGGGGAAUAUUGGACAAUGGGCGAAAGCCUGAUCCAGCCAUGCCGCGUGUGUGAAGAAGGCCUUCGGGUUGUAAAGCACUUUCAGUGGGGAAGAAAGCCUUGGGGCUAAUACCCUCGAGGAAGGACAUCACCCACAGAAGAAGCACCGGCUAACUCCGUGCCAGCAGCCGCGGUAAUACGGAGGGUGCGAGCGUUAAUCGGAAUUACUGGGCGUAAAGCGCGCGUAGGCGGUCUGAUAAGCCGGUUGUGAAAGCCCCGGGCUCAACCUGGGAACGGCAUCCGGAACUGUCAGGCUAGAGUGCAGGAGAGGAAGGUAGAAUUCCCGGUGUAGCGGUGAAAUGCGUAGAGAUCGGGAGGAAUACCAGUGGCGAAGGCGGCCUUCUGGACUGACACUGACGCUGAGGUGCGAAAGCUUGGGUAGCAAACAGGAUUAGAUACCCCUGUAGUC
Molecule: ribosomal RNA, 465 nt
Filed under: Vreelandella stevensii
Lineage: Bacteria; Pseudomonadati; Pseudomonadota; Gammaproteobacteria; Oceanospirillales; Halomonadaceae
Description: partial 16S ribosomal RNA
Rfam family: Bacterial small subunit ribosomal RNA
Source: RNAcentral